This 1279-nucleotide long non-coding RNA is filed under the name Bos mutus (wild yak). Its description in RNAcentral is "lncRNA (ENSBMUG00000015021.1)". Lineage: Eukaryota; Metazoa; Chordata; Mammalia; Artiodactyla; Bovidae. The record is from RNAcentral.
CAGAUGUGACUCUAAACCAUGUUCUUUCCUCCACACCCAACUCUGUCUGACUGCUAUAGUGCUAUCCACCAUUAGCUCACGUUCAUGAAAGUCCGGCAAGUCUGCAGCUGAAUAAAAGGCAAACUACACUUGCUGCAGCUUCAGUUUGAGAGCAAGUGGUUUAAGUGUGCAAAACAAGCUCAAUAUACAGAGGAACAAUCACAACACUCAAAAUCAGCAAAAAUUUCAUCUUCCUCUCCACUCUUUUGGCUUCAUCCUUGGGAAGCUACACAAGGAUCCAUUUGCUAACUAACCAGAUGGAGUCAAGUUCUCAAGAAAGACUAAACUUCACCACACCUUGUUUCAGGUCACAAAUGUCUCUGCUGGUAUUUUCUACUGCUGUCAAAUUACUAUAUUACCAAGGCUAAUUUUAUCUAUCUCUGUUGCUGCUACUGCUAAGUCAUUUCAGUCGUGUCCGACUCUGUGUGACCCCAUAGACGGCAGCCACCAGGCUCCCCCGUCCCUGGGAUUCUCCAGGUAAGAACACUGGAGUGGGUUGCCAUUUCCUCCUCCAAUGCAUGAAAGUGAAAAGUGAAAGUGAAAAGUGAAAGUGAAGUCGCUCAGUCGUGUCCGACUCCUAACGACCCCAUGGACUGCAGCCUACCAGGCUCCUCCAUCCAUGGGAUUUUCCAGGCAUCAAUUAACAAGUUUAGAUGACUGUAAAAACUCAGAAAACAUGUAAAAAUUCAGAAAACAAGACUGGCAUAGGAAACUGUAAUAGCUCUUAAGUUGUCUUUAUUGUCCGUCAUUGCAAAUAUAACUGAAUUUAAAUGAACUAAGGUUUUGUUCUCACCCAGCAGCUCAGGCCUUGUUCUCCAGCACUGAAAAAACUCCUGCAUAAUUUUCAAUAUUUCCAACAGGAGUUUAACCUGUUCUUUCCCUUCUGUAGCAGCUUUUAAAAACAUAAGUACUUAUAUUUUUAAAUACGUAUUUUUACUAUUAACAAUAUCAAAAUUUUUGACAGUGUAUAAAUCUAAUUAACAAAAAUAUGUAAUUUUAUCAAUAUGUAAAUCCGACCCAUUGUUUGAGAUCCUAUCCAUCAACACAAAUGAUUACCAUGUCACACCCUGUAAUAGAUCACUAGCUGAAUAUAGGAUAGAGAAGGAAUACCAGUAUAAAAAUGUAAGUUUACAAGGAACAUAGGCAUAUCUCUGCAGAUUUAUUUCAAAAUUAUUUCUCCCUGGACUUCCCUGGUGGUCCAGUGGUUAAGAAUCCACCUGCCAAUGCAGGGGACAUGGGU